GUGCUGAAAGCAUCUAAGCACGAAACUUGCCCCGAGAUGAGUUCUCCCUGAGACUUUAAGUCUCCUGAAGGAACGUUGAAGACGAUGACGUUGAUAGGCCGGGUGUGUAAGCGCAGCGAUGCGUUGAGCUAACCGGUACUAAUGAACCGUGAGGCUUAACCUU
RNAcentral lists this ribosomal RNA (163 nucleotides) under Klebsiella pneumoniae. Its description in RNAcentral is "partial 23S ribosomal RNA". It matches the Rfam family "Bacterial large subunit ribosomal RNA", at positions 2768 to 2925 of the family's 2925-position model. RNAcentral also lists the same sequence under 1 other name. Lineage: Bacteria; Pseudomonadati; Pseudomonadota; Gammaproteobacteria; Enterobacterales; Enterobacteriaceae. The record is from RNAcentral.